GCAAAAGCAAAGUGACUACAAAAGUGC
RNAcentral lists this non-coding RNA (27 nucleotides) under Homo sapiens (human). Lineage: Eukaryota; Metazoa; Chordata; Mammalia; Primates; Hominidae. The record is from RNAcentral.